GCCUCCGGGAUGGACUCCAGACCCCCCAGGACAAGCGGUUACAGAAGAUGGAUGGAUGGAUAGAUGGAUGGGUGAACCUGACUUACUCCAUAAGAUACAUAUCGAGCCAAAAGCAAGGCGGGGAUUAACCCAAGACAGGAUGUCAACCCAUUACAGGACACUCACAUCAUUCAUACCUACAGACAGUUUUGCAGUUCUUAUUCACUGUAUGUGCUAAUGGUGCUUAUCUGGAACAAAUCUACAAAGCUAGUUAAUUAAGCUGCAGACUCACUGCAAACUUUGACUGGAUAAGUGGUUAUGAAAGACAGAUGGAUGUACAAUAUAUGGUUUAUACAUUUAUUAA
Molecule: long non-coding RNA, 343 nt
Organism: Paramormyrops kingsleyae
Lineage: Eukaryota; Metazoa; Chordata; Actinopteri; Osteoglossiformes; Mormyridae
Source: RefSeq, a predicted model, not a curated record